CGCGAGAGGCCACACAGCUGAUCCGCGUGCCCAGUGAUUUGACAGCCCCGAUUUAAUCCCAUGCGCGUGAACGGUCAGAUUUAAUCUCAUCGAGCAGUCCAAAUUCAUUUUUCGAAUAUGAUAGAUACAACAGACUAGAGAGGGCCAUGCGUACACGGAUGGAUGACUCAGAUCGUUGCAGGAUGAGUAUUUAAAUAUUGCAUCUCAGGGAACCCUAACCCUAGUUGCUCUUGCCCUCACCGGAGAAGAAGAACCAGCCAUCGGAGAAGGAGAUCAACUCUCGACCGCUGUCGCAGUGGAGUCACCGCCGAUUGCUUAGAAAAGGUAAAAAAAAAAUUUCCUGU
Molecule: long non-coding RNA, 344 nt
Filed under: Carica papaya (papaya)
Lineage: Eukaryota; Viridiplantae; Streptophyta; Magnoliopsida; Brassicales; Caricaceae
Description: long non-coding RNA (CPAP_LNC010425)
Source: RNAcentral